This is a non-coding RNA of Podarcis lilfordi (Lilford's wall lizard), 74 nucleotides long. The record is from the annotation of a GenBank genome assembly. NCBI's taxonomy places the organism in Eukaryota, Metazoa, Chordata, Lepidosauria, Squamata, Lacertidae.
CUGCUUUUAGUUCAGUUGGUUAGAGCAUGUCGCCGAUGACGCUAAGGUUGCAGGUUCGAUCCCCAUAUGGGAGA